This 449-nucleotide ribosomal RNA is filed under the name uncultured bacterium. Its description in RNAcentral is "bacterial SSU rRNA". It matches the Rfam family "Bacterial small subunit ribosomal RNA", at positions 329 to 793 of the family's 1533-position model. The record is from RNAcentral.
CACCAGACUCCUACGGGAGGCAGCAGUGGGGAAUAUUGCACAAUGGGGGAAACCCUGAUGCAGCAACGCCGCGUGAGUGAAGAAGUAUUUCGGUAUGUAAAGCUCUAUCAGCAGGGAAGAGAAUGACGGUACCUGACUAAGAAGCCCCGGCUAACUACGUGCCAGCAGCCGCGGUAAUACGUAGGGGGCAAGCGUUAUCCGGAUUUACUGGGUGUAAAGGGGGCGCAGACGGCGAUGCAAGCCAGGAGUGAAAGCCCGGGGCCCAACCCCGGGACUGCUCUUGGAACUGCGUGGCUGGAGUGCAGGAGGGGCAGGCGGAAUUCCUGGUGUAGCGGUGAAAUGCGUAGAUAUUAGGAGGAACACCAGUGGCGAAGGCGGCUUACUGGACUGUAACUGACGUUGAGGCUCGAAAGCGUGGGGAGCAAACAGGAUUAGAUACCCCAGUAUUG